CCCGCGGCCUAUCAGCUUGUUGGUGGGGUAAUGGCCUACCAAGGCGACGACGGGUAGCCGACCUGAGAGGGUGACCGGCCACACUGGGACUGAGACACGGCCCAGACUCCUACGGGAGGCAGCAGUGGGGAAUAUUGCACAAUGGGCGGAAGCCUGAUGCAGCGACGCCGCGUGAGGGAUGAAGGCCUUCGGGUUGUAAACCUCUUUCAGCAGGGACGAAGCGUGAGUGACGGUACCUGCAGAAGAAGCACCGGCUAACUACGUGCCAGCAGCCGCGGUAAUACGUAGGGUGCGAGCGUUGUCCGGAAUUACUGGGCGUAAAGAGUUCGUAGGCGGUUUGUCGCGUCGUUUGUGAAAACCCGGGGCUCAACUUCGGGCUUGCAGGCGAUACGGGCAGACUUGAGUGUUUCAGGGGAGACUGGAAUUCCUGGUGUAGCGGUGAAAUGCGCAGAUAUCAGGAGGAACACCGGUGGCGAAGGCGGGUCUCUGGGAAACAACUGACGCUGAGGAACGAAAGCGUGGGUAGCAAACAGGAUUAGAUACCCUGGUAGUCCACGCCGUAAACGGUGGGCGCUAGGUGUGGGUUCCUUCCACGGGAUCUGUGCCGUAGCUAACGCAUUAAGCGCCCCGCCUGGGGAGUACGGCCGCAAGGCUAAAACUCAAAGGAAUUGACGGGGGGCCCGCACAAGCGGCGGAGCAUGUGGAUUAAUUCGAUGCAACGCGAAGAACCUUACCUGGGGUUUGACAUACACCGGAAAACCGUAGAGAUACGGUCCCCCU
RNAcentral lists this ribosomal RNA (780 nucleotides) under Rhodococcus sp. (in: high G+C Gram-positive bacteria). RNAcentral describes it as "bacterial SSU rRNA". It matches the Rfam family "Bacterial small subunit ribosomal RNA", at positions 230 to 1018 of the family's 1533-position model. The record is from RNAcentral. Lineage: Bacteria; Bacillati; Actinomycetota; Actinomycetes; Mycobacteriales; Nocardiaceae.